This 363-nucleotide ribosomal RNA is filed under the name uncultured fungus. RNAcentral describes it as "LSU rRNA". The record is from RNAcentral. Lineage: Eukaryota; Fungi.
ACGAUUGAAGCCAGUCGUACCUUCGGGUAAUCAGCCUUUCGGGUGCGAUUCUGUGGGGUUUGAGGAGCUUAACACCUUCAUGCUUUGCAUAUUCGUGCUCUUGGGUGUACUUGCCCGUGUGGUUGGUUAACAUCAAUUUUGGUGGUCAUAAAAUGACUGGAGGAAUGUAGGCUUCGAUCUUGUAUGGAAGGGUUAUAACCUUCGGUAGAUGUGAUGAUCGAGAUUGAGGAUUGCAACGGAUACCCUUGGGGGCUACCGGUCUGAUCUCUGAUCGUUGCUCGGGUGCGGAAAGCUUGCUUACGGUUAUCAAAGUCGAUGGUCAAUAGGUUAGAACGGGUUAAAUUCGUUAAGGAGGUGGACGUA